Molecule: long non-coding RNA, 1716 nt
Filed under: Capsella rubella
Lineage: Eukaryota; Viridiplantae; Streptophyta; Magnoliopsida; Brassicales; Brassicaceae
Description: long non-coding RNA (CRUB_LNC004036)
Source: RNAcentral
ACUUUGAUGGGUCUUCUCCGACGAGUCUCCGGGAUCUGGUCGGAUCUUGACUCGGAUAAUGGAUCUUGUCGGGACGUUACGGGUAAGAGAGCUUCCGUACUCGCCAUUUUCUUGUUUGGUUUUUGCUUUAUUUGAUGGUUGUAAUAAAGAAAAUGGCUAGUCCUAUAUAUAUAAAUAGAUAGAUCAAUCAAAUCAAAUCUCAAAAUAAAUAUAUUAAAAAAAAUAUGAGAAGUUGAGAACUAGAGAGAGUAGAGAGAUCUAGAUUAGAGCUGUGAUUUUUGUAUUAUCUAUCUACCAGUAAUAAGCCUCACGUUUAAAUACGACAAGUCAAUAAUAACAUUUAUUAUUCAUUAUUUAAGUAAGUGGAUUUAAGGUAAAUAUAUUGGACCAAUAUAUGUUAAUUACUAUAUUUCCUUGUUAAUUGCAUACAUUUUUUAGAACACUAUGGUUUCAUAUGGAUAAAAGAAACUAAUUCAUAAGAGGCGUGCGUAAUCUACCCUAUUUUUGAGAUGAAUAUUUUUGAGGUGGAAAAUAAUUUUUCAUGGACUAAGAUUAUUUGUAUAUAAAAAUGGUGCAUAAUUUUUUUUUUUACAUCAAAUACACCAUGUUUUAUUAGACUGAUUCGAAAAGAUUAGCCUCAUGAAUCAACCACUCCGGAACCUGAGAACAUACAUGAGAACUUACUAAGCUUCAUGCUCGAACGUUCUUAGCGAGACGAUCUGUCUGGAUGUUAUUGUUUCUAGAAAUAUGAGAAAUUGAAAAACAGAAAAUCUAGCUCGGAGUCUAUGAAAGAUAUCUAACUCCGUAGAAAAAACAUGCCACUCUUCGACGUCGUCAAUAACCUUUAAGAUGCUCAAACAAUCUGUCUCAAAAUGUCCCGAUGUAUGACCAUGGUUUAAAACACAUUACAUUGCCCAUAGUAGUGCACCCAAUUCAGCAUGAAGUGCAUACAUGAAUCCCUUAGUGCUUUGGCAUCCGAAAAGGGUUUCAGGCCCAUAUAGCACAAAUCCCAGCCCUGAGAUCGGGUCUGAGCUAAGAAACCGGUGCAUAAUUGAUAUGCGAUAAUUGGUAAAAUUUAUAAUUGGUAAAUAGAAAGGCUUGUUAAAAGUAAUCCAAUCUACGUACAUAUUUGUUCACCUUAACCGUUUUAACCAUUCAAAUCUCAUUUUUCCUUAUUUCUCCCUUUAUCAACUAAAUCUCCUAAAUUGAUUGAAAUGUUAUCUUAAAUACUUUAUUUCAUUUUUAUUUUAUCCUAUGCUUCAUCUUCAUACUAGUAUUUUAGGAUUUGCCAGUAGGUACCAGUACCACUAGUAUAAUUACAGGUGAAUAAUGAAUAAAUAGCUGUGAAGAACUGUUACCCCAUAUUAUAGUUUUGAUUGCCCACGUUUUAAUCAGUAUCUAUAUUCUAUAAAAUGGGCCAACCACUUUAUUUGGAUUUAAAUUGUAGCUACUUUUAUCAAUUUCCCUAGAAUGAGUUGCAGUCUUUUUCAAUUAAACAUAAAAACUAAAAUUCUUGUUGAACUGUUUUUUUUUUUUGUUUGUUCAUACCAAGCCCUCAGAAGACACGUUGCAGCACCUCCAACUUUGAAGGGUGGGUAAAUUUUCAAAGAGAUUUCCCAAUUUGACUUAUAUUUUCAACUUUGAAUAGUUUGAUGAUAAGUAAAAGUGAAGAUGCAAAACUCAAGCAAUCUAUUGAUAUUAAAUAAAAAGUUUAAG